Molecule: ribosomal RNA, 408 nt
Filed under: uncultured bacterium
Lineage: Bacteria
Description: partial 16S ribosomal RNA
Rfam family: Bacterial small subunit ribosomal RNA
Source: RNAcentral
GACGAACGCUGGCGGCGUGCUUAACACAUGCAAGUCGAACGAAGUGGCGAACGGGUGAGUAACGCGUAAUCAACCUGCCCUUCAGAGGGGGACAACAGUUGGAAACGACUGCAAAGACAGCAAAAUGAAGGAGGGGACUGCGGCUGAUGAGCUAGUGGGAGGGGGAAGGGCCCACCAGGGCGAUGAUCAGUAGCCGGUCUGGGAGGGUGAACGGCCACAUUGGGACUGGGACACGGCCCAGACUCCUACGGGAGGCAGCCGUGGGGAAUCUUCCGCAAUGGACGAAAGUCUGACGGAUCAACGCCGCGUGAGUGAUGACGGCCUUCGGGUUGUAAAGCUCUGUUAAUCGGGACGCGGUACCGGAAUAGAAAGCCACGGCUAACUACGUGCCAGCAGCCGCGGUAAUAC